GUAGCCAAAUGUCUGCGGUCAUGCACUUCUUCAACCAUGAAAUAUACAGCUCUCAAACAUACAGUAUGAGGUAAUAAGUUAUACAUCAAUAUUAAAUAAAAGUAUAGAUAUGCAUUAUAGGUGUACCACUUGAGCUGAAUGCAUGGGUCACGGUUGAACACGGCUCAUAAAACACAGACAGCGCGCAAAACAGAGUGAAAAACAGAGGGUAAUGGAACCCAGGUAUACCACACUGAAGUUCAACCACAACAUUUCUAUGGAUCAACAAAGGUUAAAUAUUACAUCUCUUUUUUUCUUUCUCUCUCCAUCUAUUCAAAAGAAUUUCAUAAGUGAUAGACUAUUCAGUUCAGUUCAACUCCUUUCCGCUAAAUAAUACAACAUCGAUAUCAGGGAAUGCGGGUUCGCUCGGGUCAUUACGCAACACUUCAGUAGCAUCCAAUGCCGAUCUCCUGCUUGUAGCGGUUGGUGAGAGUGUUGGCCUGUUGCGUCAGCUUGGACAGCACCCCGUGAAGCCCUGUCAUGUGGAACUGGAACUGCUUUUGCAGGUUAACCUCGUCUUCCUCGGACGACACCUCCGAUUCUUCUUCCUCGGAAUCAAUCCGAGAGCUGGGACCCCGGCUCUCCUUGCGCUUCUCGGCUUCCCCGGCGCGCAUCACCCCCCACUCGAUGUCGCAGCGGAUGGACUUCAGGAGCUGGUAGUAGCUGUACAUGUCGCCGUCCUCGAUGUCGUUGUUUCCCGAGCUUUUGAGGACGGCCAUUUCCCUCUCUUCUUCCAGUGGGACGUCCCGCAGCAGGCUGGGCACCAUCACCGUCUGGUCCAUGUUGUUGACGGCUCCAAUGAAGCGAUUCAUGGAGUUGAACAGGGAGUUCUUCUGCAGGCCUAUAGUUUCUCGUCAACAGGGGGAGUCACCAGAGACGCUGCUGAGGGUUGCCCUGCGUAUAGAGGACUCACUGACAUGGUAAACAAAACACUACAACAAGCAGGCGAAAAUGAUCCAGCCCAGCCAGUCUGAAAGCUGAC
This 1021-nucleotide long non-coding RNA is filed under the name Salmo salar (Atlantic salmon). RNAcentral describes it as "lncRNA (ENSSSAG00000073405.2)". Lineage: Eukaryota; Metazoa; Chordata; Actinopteri; Salmoniformes; Salmonidae. The record is from RNAcentral.